GACAGCAGCAGCCGCGGUAAUACGAAGGGGGCUAGCGUUGUUCGGAAUUACUGGGCGUAAAGCGCACGUAGGCGGAUAUUUAAGUCAGGGGUGAAAUCCCAGAGCUCAACUCUGGAACUGCCUUUGAUACUGGGUAUCUUGAGUAUGGAAGAGGUGAGUGGAAUUCCGAGUGUGGAGGUGAAAUUCGUAGAUAUUCGGAGGAACACCAGUGGCGAAGGCGGCUCACUGGUCCAUUACUGACGCUGAGGUGCGAAAGCGUGGGGAGCAAACAGGAUUAGAUACCCGCGUAGUCCCUGUCUCUUAUAC
This 306-nucleotide ribosomal RNA is filed under the name uncultured bacterium. RNAcentral describes it as "partial 16S ribosomal RNA". It matches the Rfam family "Bacterial small subunit ribosomal RNA", at positions 507 to 807 of the family's 1533-position model. The record is from RNAcentral.